GAGCCAGGAGGGAGGCUUCCAGAAGACAACAAAAGUCCAUGAAGAAGGGGGCACUUCUCAGCAACUCUCUGGAAACCGUCCGUAAGAACUGAACAAAAUUAUACUUCUUCAGCAUAAUUAAAAAGUACCAGCAGUUAAAUUCCUCUUCAGGAAGGCGAAUGCAGGUCUGUCUCCCGCGUGCACACACAUGUAUGCACGUGUAUGUGUGCACACAAACACACAGACGUGCACAUAGAUAAGCAAUCCCACAGUGUGUGGGGGGAAGAUGAAUACUUAUAGCUGAUGAGCCAGCAAGUAGAGCCCUCGGGGAACUGCAGGCUUAGGAGCACAUCUCUGCCCACAGCCCUAACACUGGACAAACCCACCAACGUGCGCAGGAUUUCUGAGCCAUCUCACAGCACCUUCGUUCUUAAAACAGUGUUAGCACAAAGGAAAAGUGCUACUCAAGAACUUGGGAAAGGAAGAAAAAGGAGGAGGGAGACAUGGAGCCAGGUAAGGGUCAUAAUAAUGAAAAUGCUGUACAUUGAUUUUCAACUAUUAAAUUUGAUUUAUGGGCAAAAUUCAAUAACCAUAAGUUUACUGAGUUAAAUGUGAAAUUCACCACCCUCACAAAUGCAUAAGUACAUAAAUAGAUGGCAGGUACUGAGUUGAAGGGAAAUUUAGGGACAAUGAAAUCCUCCUUUUGUAUUGUUGCCAAUCACGAUAUUUCUCUUUAGUUGGUUGAAAUAAGUAAAUAUAAUAUAAGUACAUAGUUUUUUUAAAUUUAUUUUUAUUUUUUACAAGUAUAUAGUUUUAAAAUAUAGUGGAAAGCAAAAGUGCUAAUGCAAAUAGUUUUCAUAUGCCAUAAUAGGAAUGUGAUAGCUAAUAUUCAUAGUUUAAAAAAUCAGAGACAGUAGAAUUAGCAAAUUAUGUAAAAAUAAGAAACAACCAGAAAUCUAAAGCCAG
This 945-nucleotide long non-coding RNA is filed under the name Mustela putorius furo (domestic ferret). RNAcentral describes it as "lncRNA (ENSMPUG00000030071.1)". The record is from RNAcentral. Lineage: Eukaryota; Metazoa; Chordata; Mammalia; Carnivora; Mustelidae.